This 461-nucleotide ribosomal RNA is filed under the name uncultured bacterium. RNAcentral's name for it is "SSU rRNA". It matches the Rfam family "Bacterial small subunit ribosomal RNA", at positions 26 to 518 of the family's 1533-position model. The record is from RNAcentral.
AGAAUCAACGCUGGCGGCGUGCCUAACACAUGCAAGUCGAACGAGAAAGUGGAGCAAUCCAUGAGUAAAGUGGCGCACGGGUGAGUAACACGUGACUAACCUACCCUCGAGUGGGGAAUAACUUCGGGAAACCGAGGCUAAUACCGCAUAAAAACCUAAGGGUCAAAGGAGCAAUCCGUUUGAGGAGGGGGUCGCGGCAGAUUAGUUAGUUGGCGGGGUAAUGGCCCACCAAGACGAUGAUCUGUAUCCGGCCUGAGAGGGCGCACGGACACACUGGAACUGAAACACGGUCCAGACUCCUACGGGAGGCAGCAGUGGGGAAUUUUGCGCAAUGGGGGAAACCCUGACGCAGCAACGCCGCGUGGAGGAUGAAAUCCCUUGGGAUGUAAACUCCUUUCGAUCGGGAAGAUAAUGACGGUACCGGAAGAAGAAGCCCCGGCUAACUUCGCGCCAGCAGCCGC